CGUGGUUUGUUCUCUGAAAAUAACAGAUGCUUAAACUUUCAACAUUUUUAUUCAAAAAUCAACAAUUUGAUACAAAGAUUGGUUUUAGUUCAAAAUGAAUUUCUUUUCGCCUCCAUGCAUGUUGGACAUAAAGGUGGGUGUUCAACACAAUCUCGACAGCGGUAUGAGGUUUCGCGACGAAUUUUAUUCUUACUGCAUUGGCGGCAUCGCAAAAAAUGUGAUUUUCUGGUUGAAUUGUCUGGUGUGGGUAUUUUCUCCAAAUAAUGGGCUUUCGUUGAUGGCAAACACGUCAGGUCUUUUCCCUCGUAAACAUCGCUCGGUAGUUGAAUCAACGAUCGUAUGAGGCAGUCUCGGUAGUCAAGGAAGGAAGACUUCUUAUGAAACUGCUUGUGUAUGUAAAACGAGUUCCAUACCGAUAGAUCCAAUAAAUGAAAUAAAACUUUUUUGUACCAUCGGAUGGUUUUUCUCGGAGACGAAUAAUAUGAUACCAUCUG
Molecule: long non-coding RNA, 494 nt
Organism: Bradysia coprophila
Lineage: Eukaryota; Metazoa; Arthropoda; Insecta; Diptera; Sciaridae
Source: RefSeq, a predicted model, not a curated record